Cydia strobilella is the source of this 321-nucleotide long non-coding RNA. RefSeq lists it as uncharacterized. The record is from RefSeq and is a predicted model, not a curated record. NCBI's taxonomy places the organism in Eukaryota, Metazoa, Arthropoda, Insecta, Lepidoptera, Tortricidae. The transcript has 3 exons.
GUCAAAUUAAAUUUGAAUUCACCGCUCCACGCCGAUACGUCAUUGGAAUUUUCAUCGGAAGAGAAUCUUAGAUUUUCUUCCAACUAAUCUACGCUCAAUGAAGGAUUAUGGGUGAAGUAAGAAAACCAGCAAUCUCGAUAAUCAACGUGGCCCCUGAUCGAUUUCCAUUCGAUAUCUUCAUCGUGUAACCUCGUGCCUGCUGCACAUCCAUAUUGAGAGAUCAGUUUCAAAAUGGAUGACGAUGAAGAUAUCCUAAAAGUCAUACAGAAGUUUUUGAUUAAAGGUAAGCACAAUCAAGAUUAAUAAAAUUAUUAGUAUUAA